UGUUACGACGCGUUGCAGUUGCACUGGAAUAUCAAUUUUAAUAAUAUUAAGUUGUUUCGCGUUGUUAAAGUGUUUCGCAAUAUGAUAAUACGAGUUAUUAAGUGAUCGCGGUGUUGUGUUUUACGCAAACAUAUAAAAUAUAUGUUAGGCUAGCCAGUUAAAUGCAAAAAUGCAAAUGGCGUUCCGCGUGGUGGUGAAAAUGUAUGCAAAAAUACAAAAUGUAAUAAAACAUUGUUAUUUCGCGUUGUUUAAGUGUUCGCAAUAUGUUAAUAUAAGUUAUUAAGUGAUCGUAGUGCUGUGUUUCACGCAAACACAUGGAAAAUAUGUUAAAAUUGCCAAUUAAAUGCAAAUAUGCAAAUGAUGCUCCGCGGGGGGAGUGAAAAUGCAUGCACAUAUGUAUGAAUGUAAGAAUGUAUAUAUGUAUGUACAUACAGCGUGGUGGCGUGGAAGUUCAGCAUCUUGUGAUAAUCGGAUGAAAUUUCUCGCCAGGAUUUCGGUCCUUUAAAGUGUUAUUAAAUCGGUAACUUUUUUUUUGUUUUUUAAGUGAUGUUGCAAUGUAAGAAAAAGUGUCUAAUAAUAUUUACACACAUACAUAAAUGGCCGAAGAAAUUAUUAACGCCAUAAGAAAUCUUAAGUAAUUUGAAAACGCAAGCUCAUUUAUCAUUAGACGGAGUCACACAGGACCAGGCCCGGCGACAGUUUCAGUGUCGUCUAAGCAGGGCGAGGACGAGGACGAGGACGGUGAGAAGGAUCAACGAGGAGCGGAUACAUGGGCGCGUCAAGAGCAAGCCCAACACUUUGCCGGGAACGAAAAGCGGGGAGACCACGACAACGACGACAAACUAAAUGGCACAUUAAGCAUGGCACAUAAAGCUAAAGCAUUUCUACGAAAAUCUGCGGUCAUAACUUUGCACUUCGAAAUGCCAGUGUUACCAUUCAAGUGGCAGUUAAAAUGGCUUCAGCCUCAAUUGCUGGCAUCCUGGUUGGCGUUUCGCCGGCUGCAUCCACCAUUUUACCAUUCCACCAAUUUACCGCCCUAGCAAUUCGCCAACAGGACCUGCAUCCAACAUUCUACGGCCAACAUUCUACAUAUAACAUUCAACAUCCAGCGACCCGCUGCAUUAGGAAAGUUGACGCUGUUGAUGCUGUGAGCGAUUUAUUGUUUUUGUGUAGAAAGCGUAAAAUGGAACAAAUUUCCUCAUAACCCCCUCCUUGAAGCCCGCUCACACACAAACACACACAUACAAUACAUACAGGCAUACACGCACACAUAGUCACACACUUACACGCACAGCAGUGAUGCCGGCGACCCAUUUCAAAAACAGGACAAAUCGAACUAAAAACAAGACAGAACGCUAUUGUCAAGUACUCGACUAUUGGAUACCCGUUAGUCAGAUUAUGUAGCGCCACGAAGAUUGAGUUUCAGAUUGAGAGCUACAUGUAGCGAAGUGUGUGAUGUAGUAAGCGAAAAUCGAAUGAUGCAUCAAUAUACAUUUAAUAUACUCUUCAACGAAUUAAGUAUACCCAUUUGCGCCACAACUAACGGGUAUAAUAAAACGGCAUUAAAAGGACAAUAAAGACAAGCGGAUUUGGGU
Non-coding RNA from Drosophila melanogaster (fruit fly), 1595 nucleotides. The record is from Ensembl. NCBI's taxonomy places the organism in Eukaryota, Metazoa, Arthropoda, Insecta, Diptera, Drosophilidae.